The sequence is a small nuclear RNA, 141 nucleotides long. Its record names the gene U1. It matches the Rfam family "U1 spliceosomal RNA". Rfam says of the family: U1 is a small nuclear RNA (snRNA) component of the spliceosome (involved in pre-mRNA splicing). Its 5' end forms complementary base pairs with the 5' splice junction, thus defining the 5' donor site of an intron. The record is from Ensembl.
GUUCUUACCUGGCAGGGGUGAUACCAUGAUCAAGAAGGCGGUUCACCCACGGCGAGGCUCAGCCAUUGCAAAUUCCCAAAAUGUGGGAAUCUCGACUGCAUAAUUCCUGGUAGCGGGGGACUGUGUUCGCGCUCUCCCCUG